RNAcentral lists this ribosomal RNA (75 nucleotides) under Crinum foetidum. RNAcentral describes it as "partial 5.8S ribosomal RNA". Lineage: Eukaryota; Viridiplantae; Streptophyta; Magnoliopsida; Asparagales; Amaryllidaceae. The record is from RNAcentral.
CGUGAACCCAUCGAGUCUUUGAACGCAAGUUGCGCCCGAGGCUAUCUGGCUAAGGGCACGCUUCUGGGCAUCACG